UGGGGAAUAUUGCACAAUGGAGGGAACUCUGAUGCAGCGACGCCGCGUGAACGAAGAAGGCUUUCGAGUCGUAAAGUUCUUUCUUAUGGGAAGAUAAUGACGUUACCAUAAGAAAAAGCCCCGGCUAACUACGUGCCAGCAGCCGCGGUAAUACGUAGGGGGCUAGCGUUGUCCGGAAUCACUGGGCGUAAAGGGUUCGCAGGCGGAAAUGCAAGUCAGGUGUAAAAGGCAGUAGCUUAACUACUGUAAGCAUUUGAAACUGCAUAUCUUGAGAAGAGUAGAGGUAAGUGGAAUUUUUCGUGUAGCGGUGAAAUGCGUAGAUAUUAAAAAGAAUACCGGUGGCGAAGGCGACUUACUGGGCUCAUUCUGACGCUGAGGAACGAAAGCGUGGGUAGCAAACAGG
This 403-nucleotide ribosomal RNA is filed under the name Verrucomicrobiota bacterium. Its description in RNAcentral is "Verrucomicrobia bacterium partial 16S ribosomal RNA". It matches the Rfam family "Bacterial small subunit ribosomal RNA", at positions 355 to 776 of the family's 1533-position model. Lineage: Bacteria; Pseudomonadati; Verrucomicrobiota. The record is from RNAcentral.